AUGCACGCUGGCGGCGUGCCUCAUACAUGCCAGUCGCGCGAACAGACGAGGAGCUUGCUCCUCUGACGUUAGCGGCGGACGGGUGAGUAACACGUGGAUAACCUACCUAUAAGACUGGGAUAACUUCGGGAAACCGGAGCUAAUACCGGAUAAUAUAUUGAACCGCAUGGUUCAAUAGUUAAAGACGGUUUUGCUGUCACUUAUAGAUGGAUCCGCGCCGCAUUAGCUAGUUGGUAAGGUAACGGCUUACCAAGGCGACGAUGCGUAGCCGACCUGAGAGGGUGAUCGGCCACACUGGAACUGAGACACGGUCCAGACUCCUACGGGAGGCAGCAGUAGGGAAUCUUCCGCAAUGGGCGAAAGCCUGACGGAGCAACGCCGCGUGAGUGAUGAAGGUCUUCGGAUCGUAAAACUCUGUUAUUAGGGAAGAACAAAUGUGUAAGUAACUAUGCACGUCUUGACGGUACCUAAUCAGAAAGCCACGGCUAACUACGUG
Molecule: ribosomal RNA, 496 nt
Filed under: uncultured bacterium
Lineage: Bacteria
Description: partial 16S ribosomal RNA
Rfam family: Bacterial small subunit ribosomal RNA
Source: RNAcentral